UUUUUUUUUAGAAAGAGUUGAUGCCCAGUUGCCCCCCUGCCCCCAGAUUUGUAUACAGCAAGAGUUGAGAAUCACUGCUUAGAAUAUAUCUGCUUAUAAUAAGUCGGUAGGUCUUAACAUUUUUGUAAGUCUUAGUCAAUCUGGAAGACUUGCUAUAGAGUGCUGGGCCCCUUCCUCAGAGUUUGAUUCAGUAGGUCUGGGUUGGGACCUGAGAAUUUUCAUUUUUAUCGUAUUUCUAGAGAAACAUGGUUUCUCUAGAAUCACAUGUCUCAGAAACAUUCUUUUUUUUUUUUUUUUUUUUUUGAGAUGGAGUCUUGGUCUGUCACCCAGGCUGUAGUACAGUGGCAUGAUCUCGGCUCACUGCAACCUCUACCUUCCGGGUUCAAGUGAUUCUCCUGCCUCAGCCUCCCGAGUAGCUGGGAUUACAGGUGCCUGCCACCAUGCCUGGCUAAUUUUUGUAUUUUUAGUAGAGACGGGGUUUCACCAUGUUGGCCAGGCUGGUCUUGAACUCCUGACCUCAGGUGAUCGCCUGCCUCAGUCUCCCAAAGUGCUGGGAUUACAGGUGUGAGCCAUCGUGCCCGGCCAGAAACAUGGUUCUGCGAACCGCAGUAGCAGUAGGUGUAGGAAGGAAAGUUUGGAUGUUAGAUACAGGUUGGUUUGGAGAUUUGCUCCUAGGAAGUUUAAGGAGUUCUUUUCUCAUGAUGUUGCUUUCUCUCUAAUAUACAGAAAGGGUCUUCACCAAGAGUGUUGCUUGAGUAAUAAUGGUGUUCAGAAAAGUCCAAGAUUUCAGGAUUCUUAGUUAAAUAACUUAAGCAAGUUGACUGUUUUUCUUGAUACAUCAAUUCCUUUUUUUUUUCACCUGAUGAAAAAGCUCUUUGAAUUUUAAUUUUGUCAGGUAGUGAAUAUUUACUGUCCUCUUUUGUCACUGUAGAUGAAUAUUCUUUCUAUAUCUUUGUACAUGUUACUGGUAAAUUUGCCAAUAGGAUAGAUUUUGGUAGUACAUUCUCUUUUCACAACAUCAUCAUCAUUAGCGGUCUUGGGGUAAAAUUAAUUGUAUACAUUCUUCUACAUAUAGUAGCAAAUUGUAUUAGUGUAGUCCUAUUGGUUGUAGGUCAGUCUUUUUUCAGGUUGUCGGUUGUCUCAAGGAAGGAUGGUUUAUUGUAAAUGUAUACGUGAAAAGCGAAAUGGUUAUCUCCACUAUUAUGUGGGAGGAGGCAGCAUAGUGUAAUGGAUUGAACCCGACACCCUAGUUUCAAAUUCAAUCUAAUUUAGUCUUUAUGUGUAAAAAUCAAGACAGUAACUACAUUGUAAAGUUGUUUGACUGAAAUGAGAUAAUAGAGGUGAGAAUGCCUGAUAAAUUUUAAUGGAACUAUACAAACGUUGGGUGGCAUUUUACAUGCAUAUAAAAUGACAUCUCUGCUGAUUCUGUAAUUGACAAAUAUAAAACUAACGGAUGAAACAAAAUUUAUAAAAGUAAAGUGGAUAUAGGCUUUACUUUGAUGCUUUUUGCGUGGUAUACGUAUUCUAUACUAUCUUUGGCUCCUGUGUUUCAGUUCUCAAUGUUUUCAGCUAUUGAUCGUUUGUAUGGUAGAAUUAGCCAUCUUCUACCCUACUGCUACAAUAACCCCUCAAAAACAAAAACAAAAACAACCGUUAGGUUGAUAAGUAUCUAAUGUAUCUACAACUUAAUUAAAUUGAAGGGAAAUAGCAUGAGACAUAAUUUUUCUUUUUUGCCUAUCUAUUAAUAGACCAAGUUAGGGUGCAUCACCAAGAUGAGGGUACAUUAGCUCUAAAGAUGAGGAUUCUCUUUGUAUUUGAAUGCUUAUGAAAAUGUUAUUUAUUUCUAACAACUUCUCAUAUGUAAGGGAACUUUAUAUAUGCUUUGAAAAAAAUGGAUACUAUUUUUUGAAUAUUUAGUCCGCAGUGAUGAAAUAGGUUAUUUUUAUAUACCUUGUGUUUGUGAGAUGUUUUACCUUUUACGAAAUGAAGAGAACAUAGAAUGUUGUUUCUGUUCUAAACUGUUAAAGUUAAUAGAGCUUUGUUGGGCACAUACUGCCUGAUGAUGAUACAGGGAUGUAAUAUGUAGGGGAAUGAAGAUGUUGUCCUGUCAUUUGGAUUCCAUGUGCGUAGGUUGAUGUGUCAGUCAUUUCAAGCAUAUUAAAUUGGAUAAUAUAUCUUUUUAAAAUAGACAGUCUCAGUGGGUUCACUGUGUUUUAACUAUUCACGACAGCAUGGAAUUAUAACCCUUAUUCUCUAUGAUAGAGUUAAGCAGUUAUAAACCAUAUAUAACUGAUAUGUUUCACAAGUGCAUGAUAGCUUAUUGUGAUCAAUUUUGUUGUGUAUUGGUUAUUGGAAUUUGACAGUUAAAAAGUUCUAUGAAAUUAUCAUUGAUAUGGGAAGUUUUUUCAGAAUUUCUGUGAACAUUUGAAUUUACUGAGUUUUUCAUCCUUAUUUUUCUUUCUUAUGUACAUCUUAAGGACUGGGGUUUUAAGGGGUGUGGCAGGAGGUUUUGGACUCGAUGAGUUUCCACCGAAAUGUCGGAGAAGUCAGGCCAGAGCACAAAAGCAAAGGAUGGGAAAAAGUAUGCAACACUCAGUUUAUUUAAUACUUACAAGGGGAAAUCAUUAGAAACACAGAAAACCACAGGUGAGUAAAAUCAAGUGACACUUAUGUUUUUCAUGGUUUGUUUUGUUACUAUAAGUGAUACACCUGCUGCUAUGAGAAGCUAGGAUGUACCCAAGUUAAUACAACGCUAUUUACAUUUGCCUUUUUAUGCAUGCACACAUUUUUCAGAGGAUAUGUGAUAAACAUCUUAUAAUUGAAAAUUUAUACUUUCAUAGAGCCCUUUAAAAAUAUUUUUGUUUUUCUCUGUUGUCAGCAGAAAAAAGGUAGAACUGUAUGGCUCUAAAGGGGAAACUCAGUCAAUGAGAUUGAUAGGCACAGACCUAUAUAUUAGUGGGAAUUUAGUAUCUUUUUAAUUAUAGACUAGAGAAAGUCUUAUGUUUCGUGUGUGGGGGUGUGUGUGCGUGUGUGUUAGAUACUGUGACCUAGUGAAUAUAGUGAAAACUGAAAAUCAUGCAUGGCAUAUUAACAGUAUUCUUUAUGAACAUACAGUCAAUGCAUUUAUUCUCUAACAUUCUAAGUUUUGAGUUUGAAAUAGAUUCUCUGAAAAAAUAUCAGUAUUAUCAAUGUUUUCUGUAGUGUGUUGAAUUGCAUUGUUAAAAUUUUUAAGGAAUCUGUUAAAUGCUGUUAAAUGGCUUGAUUUCUACACUGAAAUUUGUUGCAGGUGUGUAGCUUAGUUUUAAAAUUAUUAUUUUAAAAUACAUGAAUGAAAAUCAUUCAGGGAUUGCAUUAAAUCCUAUUGUUUUUCUAUAUUGUUUGAGGAAUAAAAUGGGUAAUAAAAUAGAUGUUCUAAGAAAGUUGAUGUUAUUGAUCUUUAGUUGCAGCUCGACAUGGAUUACAGAGUCUUGGAAAAGUCGGUAUUUCACGGCGUAUGCCUCCACCUGCUAACCUCCCAAGUCUUAAAGCAGAAAACAAAGGCAAUGAUCCUAAUGUAAACAUUGUACCUAAAGAUGGCACAGGGUGGGCAUCAAAACAAGAGCAACAUGAAGAAGAAAAAACACCAGAAGUGCCACCAGCACAGCCAAAACCUGGGGUUGCAGCUCCCCCAGAAGUAGCACCUGCUCCCAAAUCAUGGGCCAGUAACAAGCAAGGAAUCCAAGUGAAUAGUCAGUUUCAGCAAGAAUUUCCCAGCCUGCAGGCAGCUGGGGAUCAGG
RNAcentral lists this small RNA (3776 nucleotides) under Pan troglodytes (chimpanzee). Its description in RNAcentral is "retained intron". Lineage: Eukaryota; Metazoa; Chordata; Mammalia; Primates; Hominidae. The record is from RNAcentral.